GACGAACGCUGGCGGCGUGCUUAACACAUGCAAGUCGAACGGGAGUAUCGAAGAAGCUUGCUUUAGAGAUACUUUAGUGGCGGACGGGUGAGUAACGCGUGAGGAGCUGUCCUAUGCAGGGGGACAACAGUUGGAAACGACUGCUAAUACCCCAUAAGCCGAGAGGUAAAAGGAUUUAUCCGGCAGAGGAGGUACUCGCGUCCUAUCAGCUAGUAGGUGAGGUAACGGCUCACCUAGGCGAAGACGGGUAGCCGGCCUGAGAGGGCGAACGGCCACACUGGAACUGGGAUACGGUCCAGACUCCUACGGGAGGCAGCAGUGGGGAAUAUUGGGCAAUGGGGGGAACCCUGACCCAGCGACGCCGCGUGGGUGAAGAAAUCCUUCGGGAUGUAAAGCCCUGUUGUAUGGGAAGAGCGGAAGACGGUACCUUACGAGGAAGCCCCGGCAAACUACGUGCCAGCCGCCACAGUAA
RNAcentral lists this ribosomal RNA (472 nucleotides) under uncultured bacterium. RNAcentral's name for it is "partial 16S ribosomal RNA". It matches the Rfam family "Bacterial small subunit ribosomal RNA", at positions 28 to 523 of the family's 1533-position model. The record is from RNAcentral.